GGGGAGGGCGGAGUGGAGCUGGCUGCCGGGGCACCCAGUGCGGGCGCGGGAGGGAAGGAAUGAGGUGGAGGUGGGUGUGGCGGAGCGGGGCCCAGGGAGCUGUGGGUUUUUCUUGGGGCCCAGAGAACCCCGAGCAGAGGCGGAGGCCCCUCUCCCGCCGCCCGGCACACACUGGGACCUUUCUUUG
This is a non-coding RNA of Myotis davidii, 187 nucleotides long. The record is from Rfam. Lineage: Eukaryota; Metazoa; Chordata; Mammalia; Chiroptera; Vespertilionidae.